GCCGCGGGUGUCGGGAGGAAGGAUGUGGCACUACAGCAGCCUGGGCUGUUUGCAUGAACCUUAUGACUGACGGCAGCACCUGCCUUCCCGCCAGAGUGUGAGGCUCCGUAGCUGUGGCCAGCGGAGCUGGCAGAGCACACAGGAGUGACCUGUCCCAGCAAGAAUGCGGAGCUUGAGCCUGAGCGGCCUCCUGGGCAGAAGUGCGGGGCACACUUUGCUGCAUUUUGCUGCUGGAGGAAGGAGCAGGUUCCGUGUGGAUCCUCCCCACCUGCCGUCUCCCAGGACAGGAGAACUUUGGAGACGGCACCUGGAGUCUUGGACCCUGCUGGAUGUCUUUUCCCUCGUUGGCCCUGUGGUGUAUCCUUCUGUGGAGACAAACCACACCCAGGAACGCCGCCGCUGCUGAGUCCUGAGUGUAUCUUCCAGCCCCUCCCUGAGUGUAUCUUUCUGUGGAGACAAACCACACCCAGGAAUGCCACCACUGCUGAGUCCCGAGUCCUUCCAGCCCCGCCCUGAGUGUGCAGAGGCCGUGGGGCCUGACACUGCAUGACGGGCAGUGUGCUGCUCACCCAAGCCUCAGAACAAAGUAUGAAACUGAUUGCUUUCCAUCGACACAUCCAGCCCAGCUGAGCCUGGAGGCCGAUUUCAC
RNAcentral lists this long non-coding RNA (649 nucleotides) under Homo sapiens (human). RNAcentral describes it as "HSALNT0170580". Lineage: Eukaryota; Metazoa; Chordata; Mammalia; Primates; Hominidae. The record is from RNAcentral.